UAGGGAAUAUUGGUCAAUGGGUGAGAGCCUGAUGCAGCGACGCCGCGUGGGUGAAGAAGGUUUUCGGAUCGUAAAACCCUUUUCUGUGUGACGAGAACGGACGGUAGCACAGGAAUAGGUCUCGGCUAACUACGUGCCAGCAGCCGCGGUAAAACGUAGGAGACAAACGUUAUCCGGAGUUACUGGGCGUAAAGGGCGUGCAGGCGGCAGUCUAAGUCUGGCGUGAAAUAUCCCGGCUCAACCGGGGAAGGUCGUCGGAUACUGGGCAGCUAGAGGACGGUAGAGGCGUGUGGAAUUCCGGGUGUAGUGGUGAAAUGCGUAGAGAUCCGGAGGAACACCAGUGGCGAAGGCGACACGCUGGGCCGUACCUGACGCUAAGACGCGACAGCAUGGGGAGCAAACAGGAUUAGAUACCCAGGUAGUCCCUGAGCGGGCUGGCAAGGCGCAU
This 448-nucleotide ribosomal RNA is filed under the name uncultured bacterium. RNAcentral describes it as "bacterial SSU rRNA". It matches the Rfam family "Bacterial small subunit ribosomal RNA", at positions 355 to 825 of the family's 1533-position model. The record is from RNAcentral.